Molecule: non-coding RNA, 107 nt
Organism: Helianthus annuus (common sunflower)
Lineage: Eukaryota; Viridiplantae; Streptophyta; Magnoliopsida; Asterales; Asteraceae
Source: Rfam
CUCCCAUGAUGAGGACAAUUCUUUAUCAUCAUGUUAAACCUCUCGAAUGCUUCAUGAAACAUUUCACCCGUUUGUUGUUGAAAACUUCUCAAACCUUUUCUAGCAUG